UUAGAACGGUUCACGUGAUCGCUGGUGUGCAUCCGCACACGGGAGGAAAGUCCGAGCUUCAUAGGGCAGGAUGCCAGGUAACGCCUGGUGGGGGCGACCCCGAGGAAAGUGCCACAGAAAGCAAACCGCCUCGCCGUCGAAAGGCCGUGGGGCAAGGGUGAAAGGGUGAGGUAAGAGCUCACCGGGCUGGCGGUAACGUUGGUCGCACGGCAAACCCCAUCUGAAGCAAGACGAAAUAGGGAGGCGUUGAGGGUGGUCCCGCCCGAGUCUCCGGGUAGCGUCGCUCGAGGCCGAUGGCGACAUCGGUCCCAGAAGAAUGAUCACGACCCGCACCUCGGCGACGAGCGCGGGCUACAAAACUCGGCUUACGAACCUUCUAACCAC
Molecule: RNase P RNA, 384 nt
Filed under: Deltaproteobacteria bacterium
Lineage: Bacteria; Pseudomonadati; Myxococcota; Myxococcia
Description: RNase P RNA component class A
Rfam family: Bacterial RNase P class A
About the family: Ribonuclease P (RNase P) is a ubiquitous endoribonuclease, found in archaea, bacteria and eukarya as well as chloroplasts and mitochondria. Its best characterised activity is the generation of mature 5'-ends of tRNAs by cleaving the 5'-leader elements of precursor-tRNAs. Cellular RNase Ps are ribonucleoproteins.
Source: RNAcentral